AGGGCACCACCAGGAGUGGAGCCUGCGGCUUAAUUUGACUCAACACGGGAAAACUCACCCGGCCCGGACACUGGAAGGAUUGACAGAUUGAGAGCUCUUUCUUGAUUCAGUGGGUGGUGGUGCAUGGCCGUUCUUAGUUGGUGGAGUGAUUUGUCUGCUUAAUUGCGAUAACGAGCGAGACUCUAGCCUACUUUCUAUGUUCGGACGAUCUUGUCGCCCAACGUGUGUGCCUCACGGUGCGCUCGGGGGGUGGCAUCCUAUGAUUGACCGAGACUUCUUAGAGGGAUUGGCGCCUCUUUCCAAGGCGUGCGAAAGCGAGAGCAAUAACAGGUCUGUGAUGCCCUUAGAUGUCCGGGGCCGCACGCGCGCUACACUGAAAGGUGCAGCUAGCGUUUAUACGGUAGGGUGAAAGAUCCUUGCCUUGCCUGUCCCUGAAAAGGUGACGGGAAACUGUUGAACCCCUUCGAGUAAGAUCGUGACGGGGAUAGGGGCUUGCAAUUGUGGCCCUUGAACGAGGAA
RNAcentral lists this ribosomal RNA (519 nucleotides) under uncultured eukaryote. RNAcentral's name for it is "bacterial SSU rRNA". It matches the Rfam family "Eukaryotic small subunit ribosomal RNA", at positions 1161 to 1610 of the family's 1831-position model. The record is from RNAcentral.